RNAcentral lists this ribosomal RNA (468 nucleotides) under uncultured bacterium. RNAcentral's name for it is "partial 16S ribosomal RNA". It matches the Rfam family "Bacterial small subunit ribosomal RNA", at positions 28 to 507 of the family's 1533-position model. The record is from RNAcentral.
GACGAACGCUGGCGGCGUGCUUAACACGUGCAAGUCGAACGGAAAGGCCCUGCUUUUGUGGGGUGCUCGAGUGGCGAACGGGUGAGUAACACGUGAGUAACCUGCCCUUGACUUUGGGAUAACUUCAGGAAACUGGGGCUAAUACCGGAUAGGAGCUCCUGCUGCAUGGUGGGGGUUGGAAAGUUUCGGCGGUUGGGGAUGGACUCGCGGCUUAUCAGCUUGUUGGUGGGGUAGUGGCUUACCAAGGCUUUGACGGGUAGCCGGCCUGAGAGGGUGACCGGCCACAUUGGGACUGAGAUACGGCCCAGACUCCUACGGGAGGCAGCAGUGGGGAAUAUUGCACAAUGCGCGGAAGCCUGAUGCAGCAACGCCGCGUGCGGGAUGACGGCCUUCGGGUUGUAAACCGCUUUCGCCUGUGACGAAGCGUGAGUGACGGUAAUGGGUAAAGAAGCACCGGCUAACUACGUG